AGAGUUUGAUCCUGGCUCAGAGUGAACGCUGGCGGCAGGCCUAAUACAUGCAAGUCGAACGGCAGCACAGCAGAGCUUGCUCUGUGGGUGGCGAGUGGCGGACGGGUGAGGAAUACGUGGGAAUCUGCCCAGUCGUGGGGGAUAACGUAGGGAAACUUACGCUAAUACCGCAUGCGCCCUUCGGGGGAAAGCCGGGGACCUUCGGGCCUGGCGCGAUUGGAUGAGCCCACGUCGGAUUAGCUAGUUGGCGGGGUAAAGGCCCACCAAGGCGACGAUCCGUAGCUGGUCUGAGAGGAUGAUCAGCCACACUGGAACUGAGACACGGUCCAGACUCCUACGGGAGGCAGCAGUAGGGAAUAUUGGACAAUGGGCGCAAUCCUGAUCCAGCCAUGCCGCGUGAGUGAAGAAGGCCCUCGGGUUGUAAAGCUCUUUUGUCCGGAAAGAAAAGCGCCGGGUUAAUACCCUGGUGUCCUGACGGUACCGGAAGAAUAAGCACCGGCUAACUUCGUG
This 510-nucleotide ribosomal RNA is filed under the name uncultured bacterium. Its description in RNAcentral is "bacterial SSU rRNA". It matches the Rfam family "Bacterial small subunit ribosomal RNA", at positions 8 to 507 of the family's 1533-position model. The record is from RNAcentral.